Molecule: non-coding RNA, 31 nt
Filed under: Mus musculus (house mouse)
Lineage: Eukaryota; Metazoa; Chordata; Mammalia; Rodentia; Muridae
Source: RNAcentral
UAGGGUCUUUCAGAACCUUCUUUUAAAGUGU